AGCAAUACCAGUUCCCUCACCAAUAAGACCCAGCAGGAUCUGUUCUGUCCCAACAAAGUUGUGACCUAGUCGUCUGGCCUCUUCUUGGGCAAGCAUAAUGACUUUUAUUGCUUUCUCGGUGAACCGCUCAAACAUUGCUUUUGGGACAAAUCGGCACCCUCGUGGCCGUCUGACAAAAGUUGCAGCUGCCACUUUCGAAUGGAGAGUUUCUCCAGAUUUUACUAGUAGUGUAUCUAAUGCAUUGCACCCUCGCAGUCCUGCAAAAUUGUUCAGCCUUGAGGAACAACAUUUUACAUUACAUAGCAUUCUAACAGUUCUUUGAUCUUUCCGGGAUCCAUUGAAUUGUCCAGCCCUUUCACCAGCAACUGAAGGUAGAAUGUUUGUUGACUGAACUAAAGCUCUAGCCAUCAUGGACCUGCAACCUCAAUAACACUAAAGAUGGUGGAAAGAGGAGAAAAAAGAAAGAGAAAAGAAAUAGAGAGAGCUUGAAAGUCG
RNAcentral lists this unclassified non-coding RNA (495 nucleotides) under Hevea brasiliensis (rubber tree). The record is from RNAcentral. Lineage: Eukaryota; Viridiplantae; Streptophyta; Magnoliopsida; Malpighiales; Euphorbiaceae.